RNAcentral lists this unclassified non-coding RNA (330 nucleotides) under soil metagenome. Its description in RNAcentral is "partial contains 5.8S ribosomal RNA, internal transcribed spacer 2, and large subunit ribosomal RNA". The stretch from base 1 to 120 matches the Rfam family "5.8S ribosomal RNA", at positions 35 to 154 of the family's 154-position model. The record is from RNAcentral.
GAUGAAGAACGUGGCGAAAUGCGAUAAGUAAUGUGAAUUGCAGAAUUCAGUGAAUCAUCGAAUCUUUGAACGCACAUUGCGCCCCCUGGUAUUCCGGGGGGCAUGCCUGUUCGAGCGUCAUUUCACCACUCAAGCCUCGCUUGGUAUUGGGCAACGCGGUCCGCCGCGUGCCUCAAAUCGACCGGCUGGGUCUUCUGUCCCCUAAGCGUUGUGGAAACUAUUCGCUAAAGGGUGUUCGGGAGGCUACGCCGUAAAACAACCCCAUUUCUAGGUUGACCUCGGAUCAGGUAGGGAUACCCGCUGAACUUAAGCAUAUCAAUAAGCGGAGGA